Molecule: long non-coding RNA, 527 nt
Organism: Schistocerca americana (American grasshopper)
Lineage: Eukaryota; Metazoa; Arthropoda; Insecta; Orthoptera; Acrididae
Exons: 4
Source: RefSeq, a predicted model, not a curated record
GGCGGGGCCACCGCUGCCCUCCAGCUUUCCUGCUUCUUGUCUCGCACCGGCUUUCUCCUUCGUGCGUGACGAGUACUCUAAGAGCGCCGCCACCUGGCUGGUCUUCAACUCACGCAGUUCCUGUUCCGUAACAUCGCUGCACCACAUCUGUGUUUACUGCCGGCGAGGGCACUGCAGUUCCAUCUCAUUCAGUUCGAUGGUUGUAAACGUGUACCUACCGUCGCACCGGCUCUUGGUUCUUCAGUGGCGUUGGGGAGGCACGAGUCUCGAUACUCGCCGCUUCCUGUGACGAUCACUAGGUCACCUGCAGACACCUUGACGACGGUCUGACCUCCACUAACAGAAGAGAGACUCGUCGCUGAACACUGUAGAAUGCCACUCACUGUCUCAGUUGACUCUGGCUCUUCACCAUGCAGGCUCAAAUGUGACCAGCGAAAGAAAUUUCAGUGUGGCAUGGAACGUAAACUGCGAGGGACGAAGCAAACUCGGUGAGAAACGAGUCAUUUCACUGUAACUAUGCCAACAAG